UAGAGCAAGGAAACUUGAAAUUUGGGCUAAAAUGGGGAAAAUACCAAGUUGUGGACGAAAUGGUAAAAAUAGCCAUUUUCGCAUACGAGUGUUGACAAGCCAGCUCGGAAAUCGGAAACGGUCGGAGGCACGCUUACACUAUCCGUAUACCAUCUUGGCAUAAUGGCUUGUAUAUUUUGAGUAUGGCAUGUAUAGCAUUAUAAUCAUUUUGUAUAUAUGGUCUUAUGAUAUGGUUAUUGAGUGGUAUGGAAAUAGAAA
Molecule: long non-coding RNA, 258 nt
Organism: Gossypium arboreum
Lineage: Eukaryota; Viridiplantae; Streptophyta; Magnoliopsida; Malvales; Malvaceae
Exons: 2
Source: RefSeq, a predicted model, not a curated record